This 1438-nucleotide ribosomal RNA is filed under the name uncultured organism. Its description in RNAcentral is "SSU rRNA". It matches the Rfam family "Bacterial small subunit ribosomal RNA". The record is from RNAcentral.
UAGCGACAGGCUUAACACAUGCAAGUCGAGGGGCAGCACAGGUAGCAAUACCGGGUGGCGACCGGCGCACGGGUGAGUAACGCGUAUGCAACUUGCCUAUCAGAGGGGGAUAACCCGGCGAAAGUCGGACUAAUACCGCAUGAAGCAGGGAUCCCGCAUGGGAAUAUUUGCUAAAGAUUCAUCGCUGAUAGAUAGGCAUGCGUUCCAUUAGGCAGUUGGCGGGGUAACGGCCCACCAAACCGACGAUGGAUAGGGGUUCUGAGAGGAAGGUCCCCCACAUUGGUACUGAGACACGGACCAAACUCCUACGGGAGGCAGCAGUGAGGAAUAUUGGUCAAUGGCCGAGAGGCUGAACCAGCCAAGUCGCGUGAGGGAUGAAGGUUCUAUGGAUCGUAAACCUCUUUUAUAAGGGAAUAAAGUGCGGGACGUGUCCCGUUUUGUAUGUACCUUAUGAAUAAGGAUCGGCUAACUCCGUGCCAGCAGCCGCGGUAAUACGGAGGAUCCGAGCGUUAUCCGGAUUUAUUGGGUUUAAAGGGUGCGUAGGCGGCCUUUUAAGUCAGCGGUGAAAGUCUGUGGCUCAACCAUAGAAUUGCCGUUGAAACUGGGGGGCUUGAGUAUGUUUGAGGCAGGCGGAAUGCGUGGUGUAGCGGUGAAAUGCAUAGAUAUCACGCAGAACCCCGAUUGCGAAGGCAGCCUGCCAAGCCAUUACUGACGCUGAUGCACGAAAGCGUGGGGAUCAAACAGGAUUAGAUACCCUGGUAGUCCACGCAGUAAACGAUGAUCACUAGCUGUUUGCGAUACACUGUAAGCGGCACAGCGAAAGCGUUAAGUGAUCCACCUGGGGAGUACGCCGGCAACGGUGAAACUCAAAGGAAUUGACGGGGGCCCGCACAAGCGGAGGAACAUGUGGUUUAAUUCGAUGAUACGCGAGGAACCUUACCCGGGUUUGAACGCAUUCGGACCGAGGUGGAAACACCUUUUCUAGCAAUAGCCGUUUGCGAGGUGCUGCAUGGUUGUCGUCAGCUCGUGCCGUGAGGUGUCGGCUUAAGUGCCAUAACGAGCGCAACCCUUGCCACUAGUUACUAACAGGUAAAGCUGAGGACUCUGGUGGGACUGCCAGCGUAAGCUGCGAGGAAGGCGGGGAUGACGUCAAAUCAGCACGGCCCUUACAUCCGGGGCGACACACGUGUUACAAUGGCGUGGACAAAGGGAGGCCACCUGGCGACAGGGAGCGAAUCCCCAAACCACGUCUCAGUUCGGAUCGGAGUCUGCAACCCGACUCCGUGAAGCUGGAUUCGCUAGUAAUCGCGCAUCAGCCAUGGCGCGGUGAAUACGUUCCCGGGCCUUGUACACACCGCCCGUCAAGCCAUGGGAGCCGGGGGUACCUGAAGUCCGUAACCGAAAGGAUCGGCCUAGGGUAAAACUGGUGACUGGGGCU